UACGUAGGGUGCAAGCGUUGUCCGGAAUUACUGGGCGUAAAGAGCUCGUAGGUGGUUUGUCGCGUUGUUCGUGAAAACUCACAGCUUAACUGUGGGCGUGCGGGCGAUACGGGCAGGCUAGAGUUCGGUAGGGGAGACUGGAAUUCCUGGUGUAGCGGUGGAAAUGACGCAGAUAUCAGGAGGAACACCGGUGGCGAAGGCGGGUCUCUGGGCCGAUACUGACGCUGAGGAGCGAAAGCGUGGGGAGCAAACAGG
Molecule: ribosomal RNA, 255 nt
Filed under: uncultured bacterium
Lineage: Bacteria
Description: partial 16S ribosomal RNA
Rfam family: Bacterial small subunit ribosomal RNA
Source: RNAcentral